UACAGAGGGUGCAAGCGUUGUUCGGAAUUAUUGGGCGUAAAGGGCUCGUAGGCGGUCUGUCACGUCGGGAGUGAAAACCCGCGGCUUAACUGCGGGCUUGCGGUUGAUACGGGCGGGCUAGAGUUCGGUAGGGGAGACUGGAAUUCCUGGUGUAGCGGUGAAAUGCGCAGAUAUCAGGAGGAACACCGAUGGCGAAGGCAGGUCUCUGGGCCACUACUGACGCUGAGAAGCGAAAGCAUGGGGAGCGAACAGG
Molecule: ribosomal RNA, 253 nt
Filed under: uncultured bacterium
Lineage: Bacteria
Description: partial 16S ribosomal RNA
Rfam family: Bacterial small subunit ribosomal RNA
Source: RNAcentral